This 465-nucleotide ribosomal RNA is filed under the name uncultured bacterium. RNAcentral's name for it is "partial 16S ribosomal RNA". It matches the Rfam family "Bacterial small subunit ribosomal RNA", at positions 28 to 507 of the family's 1533-position model. The record is from RNAcentral.
GACGAACGCUGGCGGCGUGCUUAACACAUGCCAGUCGAACGGAAAGGCCCUGCUUGCAUGGUACUCGCGUGGCGAACGGGUGAGUAACACGUGGGCGUUCUGCCCUCCACAUCGUGAUAAGCCUGGAGAACUGGGGCUAUUACCGGAGAGAAGCCAUCUUUAGUGUGAUGGUUGGAUAGAUUUUUCGGUCUAGGGUGGGCUCGCGGCCUAUCAGCCUGCUGGUGGGGUAAUGGCCUACCAAGGCGGGGACGGGUAGCCGGCCUGGGUGGGUGGACGGCCAAAUUGGGACUUGGGUAAGGCCCAGGCUCCUACGGGGGGGAGGAGGGGGGAAAAAUGGCAAAAGGGGGGGAGCCCGGUGCAGGGACGCCGCGUGGGGGAUGACGGCCUUCGGGGUGGAAACUCCUUUCGGUAGGGAACAAGGUGUUUGUGACGGUAACUAGAAAAGAAGCACCGGCUAACUACGUG